GGACAAUUCAUCUCCUCACAAUCUGUACAAAACCUUUUUUUUUUUUUUCCAAAAUGAAUUCUCUAUUCCACAUACGUCACUCUCUUCUUCCCUUAAUAUAUACUCCCUCGACCCACAAAUAUCCCCCUCUGUCUUCUUCAAUCAUUCUCAAAACAGACUUAUAUUGAUGUUUCCAUAAGAGAGACUUCAAAAUUUCAGAAACUCAGAACACCAAAAAUCAAAUCUUUACAUCUUGAAGGCCAGGCGCCGCUGACGCGGUGUGAAUGGAGCAGCAGCAGCAGCGACAACCCUCCUUGGCCGUCUGCCGUCGGAUACGCAAGAGAGAGAGAGAGAGAGAGAGAGGCAGAUGGGAGGUGAUGAGCAGAGGGUAAGGUGAGUGAGGGAAGGCGAUUGAGUGAGGGAGGCGUCGGAGCCGGCGAGCAGGUGGCGGCGGCGGGAGAAGAGGCGGUGGUUCUGGGAGAGAGAAAAAGAGAAUUAUAGAGAUAGGGGGGAGGGGACCGAAUUGUGAGUAUGGCUGGUAAUCGGUUCAAUUCGGUUAUAAUCGAACCGGUUAAUCAGAAUCGAUUAACGGUCAAAGUGAUAACCGAAAAUCGAACCGAUUAACCGAUUUAACCGGUUAACCGAAUUAACCGGUUAUUGAGGCAGAUUAGCAAAACAAAAUUGAUCCGACGACACAAGAUUUGCAAAACUGGAUCAUUUCAGCAAAGGCCGAAGGGAAUUGCCGGUGGAUUAGCCGACGAACUGGGGGAAGGCAGUGAUGCAGGUAAGAUGCGGCGGUGGGAACUGGGGGAGGGCAGCGACGUCGCUUGGCGCUUCCCUCAACCCUCGCAGAGUAGCAGAAAUUCGGGGGGAACUGGGGAAGGCCGAAGGGGAAGGAGGCAGAGCCGAUUCUGAUUUCUGAAAUUGGGGGAAACGGAAAUAGCUGGGAGCCCUAAUUCUUAUACAUUAUUUAAUUUAAGGGUUAAUUGCAUGAAAAUACACGAACUUUAGUCGCAAUUUCAUUUUGCACAUAACUUUUGAAACUUACAUUUUUAAUCAUGAACUUUGCAUUUGUUCCAAAUUUUCCUUAAAAUUGAGCUCCGGCAGCCGGAAAGAUGACGUGUCUUCAAACAUGCUACGCGUAUGUGACACGUCAUUAAUUCAAACGACGUGGCACAAAACGACGUCAUUUUAAUACCGCGUUUAUCAAUCCCCAAAUCGAAAACCCUAGCUCCCUCAAUCUUAGCCAUUAGCGGCGGCGCUCUCCGCCGAUAAAGGAGGAGAAAAGGGGAAUCGACGGCGUGAAAUGUGCGUCGUAUUAGUGUGGGCGUGUGAUUUUAAUUUCGAAGAGAAGUAUCGCUGAUUUAUGCUUAAUUUACUCUAUUUUUAAGGGUUUGUUUGUGCGUGUUUUAAGAUAAUCUUCUGGAAAUUGGUGCGUUUAUGAUGUAUUCUAUGCUUUGCAGGAGAUUUAGGCUUUCGAGAUGGAAGAAUGCAAUUUUGGAGAAUUUUGGAUGAAUUUGGCGCUUUUCUAGAUGUUCUGGUCUCCAGAGCAGAGAAAUCACCGUUCCUCUGGAGUUAGAGAAAUCACCGUUCCUCUGGGGUCAGAGAAAUCACCGUUUCUCUCGAGUCAGAGAAGUCAAAGUCCAGAGCAGAGAAGCGCCAGCGUCAGAAAAGCGAAGUGCCAGUACAUCGAAAUCAAAUCUCCAGUGCAGCGAAAUCAAUCGCCAGAGAAAUCACCAUUUCUCUGGAGACAGUGAAAUCAAGAAGCCAGUGUAGCGAAGUCAUCACCAGAGGAGUCAAUAGUCAGAGCAGCCAAGCAAAAGGCCAUUACAGCGGAAUCGCAAAAGUCCAUUACAGCGGAAUCGAGAAGCCAGAGAAAUCAUCGUUCCUCUGGCGAUACCAGAGAAAUCGCCAUUCCGCUGGCAACCCAUUCCUCUGGCGAUAGCAGAGAAAUCGUCAUUUCUCUGGCGCGACCCGUUUCCCGAGUGACAUCCAUUCCUCUGGCGAGAGCUGUGAAUUCAGCAAGAGUGGGAGUAUUUUCCGGAGCGUGCAUCCAGCUGGAGAGUUGCCUUAUUUCACACGAUUCUAUUACCUUUAGAAUUCUACUUUGCAUGGCAACUUCCAAGUUGAUCCGAAGGAAAUCUGAAAACUAUAAAUAGGUCAUCUUUUGACCUAUUGAAGGACAUCCCCCGAACCUAGAAUUCAUAUUAUCAGUUUUAUAGCUUUAGAAUUUUAUUGCUUUCUAGUUUUCAAGGCUUGGAUCAAGAUUGAAGAUUCAAGCCGCUACUUCAGUUUUUAUUCGGUUUUUAUACAAUUUAGUUUUUUUACA
This is a long non-coding RNA of Salvia miltiorrhiza (redroot sage), 2308 nucleotides long. RefSeq lists it as uncharacterized. The record is from RefSeq and is a predicted model, not a curated record. NCBI's taxonomy places the organism in Eukaryota, Viridiplantae, Streptophyta, Magnoliopsida, Lamiales, Lamiaceae. The transcript has 2 exons.